AUGCUCGCCUUGUUGAUGCUGGACACGACCUGCCCGCUGGCUUGGCGACGCUUGUUGUGCCCUGCCUCGAGCUCCCAGCAACGCUCUUCUGCUCGAAGCAGCCGGCGCUCCUGCCGCUCACAUCCAUGCAACCUCCUUCUGAAGCACCCAUCGGCCAUCGCAUCACCAAGGCCAAGCCCUCUAGCAACCCGUCGGAAGACUUUGGCAGGCAUGAGGAUCUCCAAGGAAGGCGGCAUCUCUCUGCAACGGAUCAGGCGCCCUUCCAACCGCACGCCGGCUGCCCCGGUUGCAAAGGUGGCUGAGCGCCUUGUUUGUUGCAGCCUGGGCAUAACCAAAGAUGGUGAAGAUGUCACCGCUCCGACCCUAGACGCGUUCACGGAGAGAUUCAAGAAGUAG
Molecule: ribosomal RNA, 396 nt
Filed under: Triticum aestivum (bread wheat)
Lineage: Eukaryota; Viridiplantae; Streptophyta; Magnoliopsida; Poales; Poaceae
Description: partial small subunit ribosomal RNA
Source: RNAcentral